AUGCUCAUGGCAAAAUAUGCUCUUUUUUUUCAGUCUUUGGUUUCCUCACUGGCACAUAACAGACAGCUAACAGUCACUGAACAGCAAAAGCUUUCUGCUCAGGUGCUAUGCUUGGCCUCAAAAUUCUCACUGGCAAGGGACAGCUCCCUGUCAUUCUUAAUGGACUACAGCAGCCCCAAGCCAAAGGUAGGAACUUUACUUUGUAAUGUUCUCCAAUGUGUCACUUAUCUAGUUAUUCUUUUGGAUUUUUCACAUCUUUUGCAAAAUGCUUUUCUGCUGUGCCAGAAGUCUCUGCUAUGAUUUCCUCUAUUGAACACAGCUGUCAUGAGCUUAUCAGUGCAGAAAGAUCAGUGUGAAUGCAGAGGAAAUCUCCAGUGCCUCUCAAAAAGGGGAUUUACUUGAGUAUAAUACCACAGGGACACACUGUCUGUGAAAUCUGUGGGGACAACAUAUAAUACUGAAGUUGGAUGACAAUAAGCUUUAAGGAAAAAAAUCUCUCUCUACUGAUAAACAAGCUCUCCAAAUUGAAAAAAAAAAAAAAGAAAAAAAGAAAAAAAAAGUGUUAGAUAAUUUCAGAAUCAUGCAGUUAAAUUAGCUUGUGUGUUGGUAAAGCUAUAACACACUAAUUCUUCGUUAGGAUUUAAUAAAGCCAUUAUUACAUAUAAAUUAAAUAUUCA
Molecule: long non-coding RNA, 677 nt
Organism: Coturnix japonica (Japanese quail)
Lineage: Eukaryota; Metazoa; Chordata; Aves; Galliformes; Phasianidae
Source: Ensembl